AUUGAACGCUGGCGGCAUGCCUUACACAUGCAAGUCGAACGGCAGCACGGGAGCAAUCCUGGUGGCGAGUGGCGAACGGGUGAGUAAUAUAUCGGAACGUGCCCAGUCGUGGGGAUAACGUAGCGAAAGCUACGCUAAUACCGCAUACGAUCUAUGGAUGAAAGCGGGGGAUCGCAAGACCUCGCGCGAUUGGAGCGGCCGAUAUCAGAUUAGGUAGUUGGUGAGGUAAAGGCUCACCAAGCCGACGAUCUGUAGCUGGUCUGAGAGGACGACCAGCCACACUGGGACUGAGACACGGCCCAGACUCCUACGGGAGCAGCAGUGGGAAUUUGGACAAGUGGGCGCAAGCCUGAUCCAGCAAUGCCGCGUGCAGGAUGAAGG
Molecule: ribosomal RNA, 381 nt
Filed under: uncultured bacterium
Lineage: Bacteria
Description: bacterial SSU rRNA
Rfam family: Bacterial small subunit ribosomal RNA
Source: RNAcentral